Molecule: long non-coding RNA, 852 nt
Organism: Emys orbicularis (European pond turtle)
Lineage: Eukaryota; Metazoa; Chordata; Testudines; Emydidae
Exons: 4
Source: RefSeq, a predicted model, not a curated record
UCCGUCUUCUCGGGUAGGCGGAAGCAGGAGCUGCGGCGGAGGGGGAGCGAUGGAGGCCGCGAGGCCGGAGCAGCGAGGCCCGGAGCCGGCCGCAGCGAAUGGCGACUGCAGCCGCCCCCUGUCGCUCUCCGGACAGUCCUACUGGCUCGACGUGUGGCUCUUCGUCCUCUUCGACCUGGCGCUGCUCGUCUUCGUCUAUCUGCUGCCCUGAGCCCGCGGAUUUAGGAAGCAUGUAGAAAUUCACAAGCCAAAGAUAUCCAAAAUGAGCACAGAGCCUCUGAUCAUGGCUGGCAUCUUGCAUUAAGAAGGUCUAUUUCUGUUGUGCUUCAUAUGUGGCAGAAAUUAAAUCAGUAUUAAAAUUCUGAAACUUGAACUUUCAAGCAGAGAUGAGAAGGAAAAAUCUAUGAAAACAAACCUGUCAAGCAGCCACAGUGCUAUCACGGAUAACACAGCAAAUUUCAUAUGUUUAAGUUUCAAAUAAAUAGUGGUACUAUUGACAGAUCUUGAUCUGUGGCAGCUCCUAUUCAAGAUGAGGAACCUUUUUUAUAAAAACAUGCUUUGGAAGAGGAAGACUAUACGUGCAACAGGACAACUGGAAAUAACACUCUCAAACCUGUUAAGCCACUGAGUGCUAGUGGUACACAUUGAUCCAUUCAUGGAUGUACUGAUUUGAGGGGGUCUGGUUCAUCUGUAGCCUAUUUACUUCAGUGACAAUGUAAAUUGUGCCUUAAGUUAAAUUAUUUCAAAAGUUUGAGGAUACUCUUGUUUCCCUAGCAGUAAUAUAAAUUGCUCAUUUGUCUUUUACAUAAUGUUCAGUGUUUGAAUAAAGAUAAUUGAAAAAAUUGAACUUCA